GACGAACGUUAGCGGCGCGCCUAACACAUGCAAGUCGCACGAGAAAGGGCUUCGGCCCCGGUAAAGUGGCGCACGGGUGAGUAACACGUGGGUAAUCUGCCCUCGAGCGGGGGAUAACAUUCCGAAAGGAGUGCUAAUACCGCAUAAGACCACGACUUCGAAAGAGGACGAGGUAAAAGCUGGCCUCUAUACAUAAGCUAGCACUUGAGGAUGAGCCCGCGGCGCAUCAGGUAGUUGGUGAGGUAACGGCUCACCAAGCCUAAGACGCGUAGCUGGUCUGAGAGGAUGAUCAGCCACACUGGAACUGAGACACGGUCCAGACUCCUACGGGAGGCAGCAGUGGGGAAUAUUGCGCAAUGGGCGAAAGCCUGAC
RNAcentral lists this ribosomal RNA (373 nucleotides) under uncultured bacterium. RNAcentral describes it as "bacterial SSU rRNA". It matches the Rfam family "Bacterial small subunit ribosomal RNA", at positions 28 to 387 of the family's 1533-position model. The record is from RNAcentral.